RNAcentral lists this ribosomal RNA (253 nucleotides) under uncultured bacterium. RNAcentral describes it as "partial 16S ribosomal RNA". It matches the Rfam family "Bacterial small subunit ribosomal RNA", at positions 524 to 776 of the family's 1533-position model. The record is from RNAcentral.
UACGAAGGGUGCUGGCGUUGUUCGGAAUUACUGGGCGUAAAGCGCGCGUAGGCGGCUUGUCAAGUCAGGGGUGAAAUCCCACAGCUUAACUGUGGAACUGCCUUUGAAACUGUCAAGCUAGAGUGUUGGAGGGGAUAGCGGAAUUGCUAAUGUAGAGAUGAAAUUCGUAGAUAUUAGCAGGAACACCGGUGGCGAAGGCGGCUAUCUGGACAACAACUGACGCUGAGGCGCGAAAGCGUGGGGAUCAAACAGG